Zophobas morio is the source of this 264-nucleotide long non-coding RNA. RefSeq lists it as uncharacterized. The record is from RefSeq and is a predicted model, not a curated record. The transcript is spliced from 3 exons. NCBI's taxonomy places the organism in Eukaryota, Metazoa, Arthropoda, Insecta, Coleoptera, Tenebrionidae.
UCAUCUGCAAGAAGAAGGCCUUUGGAGUUGGGCCUUUCCGGAUCUUUCACAAUCUAGAUGAAAAUUCUGUGAAGCAAUCCUUUUUUUUUCGGUGCUCUUUUUAACUUUUUCACAUAACUUUUGUGAACGCCCAUUAUAAGGGGAGAAGAAAGGGGUGCGUAGGUAUUAUCCAUUAAGAGGUAACUACUUUUAAAGGGUGGCGGAUUAGAACCGGGUGCGGUGGAAUUUCAGCCUGUGAGAUUUUUCAUCACUAUAAAAGCAAAC